This 2634-nucleotide long non-coding RNA is filed under the name Portunus trituberculatus (swimming crab). RNAcentral's name for it is "uncharacterized LOC123512326". The record is from RNAcentral. Lineage: Eukaryota; Metazoa; Arthropoda; Malacostraca; Decapoda; Portunidae.
CUUUACUCCACUCACUGCCUGCAGCUGCGCCUCACUUCCUCGUGAUGACCCCGCUUGUGCUACUGCUGCUAUUGAUGUUGUUGCUGCUGUUGGAUCUGCGUGCAUGCUAACAUGAGAGCGUAAUGGAAUAACCUGCCGUGACGCCACGAUCUUCACACAUCACUCGUGUGCACGACGCCGCGACCCGCCCAGCACGUGGAGCAGCGUGUGUCUGGUGCCUGACCCUACCGCCUCCCACUUGAGUUUGGAAACAAUUUUAAUAUCCGAUGCAGUGUGAGCUGCACCAGACGCUGCCACCACGAACAGCCAUCACCACCACCACUGCCGCUCUUGCCGUUUCACCAUAGUGCCGCCCUACGCCCCUACCAGCGCUUCUCUUCACGCAGGGUGAUCUGCAGGGUUCCUAACUCACCUAGUGCCAAGUGCAAGUUACUUUGUGGUGGGAUGUCAUUCUUCUUUCAGGCGUUUCACCCUUAUCUGACAAGGUUACUGCCAUUCAGAAUUUCUCCACGCCCGUUACGGUCAAAUCCCUCCAAAAGUUUGUGGGGAUGAUCAACUUUUACCACUGUUUCCUGCCUGGGAUUGCAUCCACCAUGGCACCACUUUACGAAGUUCUGGCAGGCAAACCCAGGGAGUUGGUUUGGGGUUCCUCACAAGCACAGGCCUUGUGGGAGGUGAAACUCUCUCUUGCCUCAGCUACCCUCCUUGCUUAUCCAAUCCCUGGUAAGCCUCUCCUCGUCACCAAAGACGCUAGCAACAUCGGGAUUGGCAGUUUUGGAACAACUCAUCCAUGGACAGCCACGCCCUCUAUUGGGAUAUCUGUGCUUGUCUGUUGUCUUAUUGUGCUAUUGAUAUACAUAUGAGAGAGCAAGAUUAAAGUUGACAACUGCUGCAUAUCAUUCUGACCUGCAGACAGAAGAUUCUGAGGAUGAUGUCAGUAUCCGUUGUUCAAAAAGGAGGAGGAGAUCUCCUACCAGAUACACUGACCAUGAAAGUUCUGAAGAGGACUGCUUUAGUAGUUCAAGAGCUAAGACAAAGGCUUCAACAGCAACAGGGAAGUGGAUGUAAUAUCUGAAGGCCAGCAUGCAAGACCAGUUCCACCUAGACCAUCUGUACCGAGCUGUAUUGUCACAGCCACCACAGCCUUAAAGUCUAGAUAUAAACGGCUCGAGAUGUAAGAAUUUUUAUGGUGUUGGAAGAAUUACGCACUAUACUGCAUUCCCACUCCACCAAGCUGAAUACUAUCCUCAGACACCACAGUGUGCAGGAACAAGAUCAAGCAGUACCUGAGGGUAUUCACUUCCCAGUGAAGGAAAUCCAGAUAUGGAUGCCCUUGAAACCAAACUGAUGGAUCCUGACCUAGAGAAAAAGUUAUAAGUUAAGUGAACAGUUACAAUUUGUUAUUGAAUCCUUCAAAUUGCAGUAGAAAUAGGUGCAGGUUUUUGUAAAUUUAGGUCAAACUUUAUUUAAUUUGCAGUUUUGACAAACUAGUACAAGACUUGCUGGUAACCCUUGACACUAGAACCACAUACAUUUUUGGCCUAUGAUAUGAACUCAAAGUGAAUGCGGUGCUGUACAGUUUUUCAUGCAUCCUUCACUUGCAUACUACUGCAAAGUUUCCACUCUUUCAGAUUGCCAGUCUGUGUGUAAUAGGUGGAUCAGGCCUGCCAGACACAGUGAGGCGCAUUCUGCGACACAGUGUCCAACUCCCUGGCCAUCCACUUCAAUUGGUGUGGCAAAGGAAUGAAACAGAGCUUUUGCACAAUGAAGUUGAAGGAUACUAUAAUUAAAAGUGUCCGCAAGAAUGCAGAGCACAAGAGUGCAACAGCUGCCUAAAUUGAAAAAGUAAUGAAGGAGUGGUUUUGAACAGCCAGGGAUCGAGAUGGAGGCCGUCGGAGGAGAGAUGUAAGAAGUUGUUAGAGCAGUGAUACUGCUUAGACUUGCUGGCAUUGCAUAUUUUAAAGUUUUUUUUUCUCUCUCUCUCUCUCUCUCAUGUGUACUUUGCAUCAUAAAAUACUCAGUUUACGGGUACCAUGCCAGGCUUCCAUGCCACAGUGACCACACAUUCCAGUUUCCUUCCUCCAUGUAUCCUGAAGCUGUCAUGCCACAUCUCCAUUCACCUGUAUCCCUUUGAAGUGCUUCCACACUUCUUAAUGAUCUGCCUACUCCAUAUGCACACCUUAUCACAUCCCACAUAGCCCCGAGUUGGUCUAUUUACAUGCCUUCUCCCCAUUUAUAAAUGCCUGUAUCUUAAUUUCUUUCUCUUUGCUGUAAUGUUUCACCAGCACAUUCAAUAGUUAAUAAAAUGUUGCGGACAGCAUUGCUUUAAUGAGAGCCACUUUUAUUUAUAUAUUUUAUUUAUUUUUUAUAAUUACUCUUUAUGUAGGAUGUAGGGAUAUGAUAAUUAUGGUAUUAAUUAUGUAAACACUGAGUUUAGGAAUAAAAUUCAGGAUAGAUAACAGUAUUUUUGCACUAACACCAGCACAAAGAAAUUAGUCAUUUAUUAAUGUUUGUUUUCAUGGAAAUGAUUAAUACUGCUGUUACUGAGAAUUAUAUUAGUGAAAGAAUAUUCUGUAUCAAGGAAGUAAUUUUUAUAGUUACACAUCAUGUACAGUAUUGCCAAAGAGUGUGUGU